Non-coding RNA from Oncorhynchus mykiss (rainbow trout), 336 nucleotides. NCBI's taxonomy places the organism in Eukaryota, Metazoa, Chordata, Actinopteri, Salmoniformes, Salmonidae. The record is from RefSeq and is a predicted model, not a curated record.
AUAGGUCCUAGUUAUAGUCACUACUAUAGGUCCUAGAUAUAGUCACUACUAUAGGUCCUAGUUAUAGUCACUACUAAAGGUCCUAGUUAUAGUCACUACUACAGGUCCUAGUUAUAGUCACUACUACAGGUCCUAGUUAUAGUCACUACUACAGGUCCUAGUUAUAGUCACUACUAUAGGUCCUAGAUAUAGUAUAGGUCCUAGUUAUAGUCACUACUAUAGGUCCUAGUUAUAGUCACUACUAUAGGUCCUAGUUAUAGUCACUACUAUAGGUCCUAGUUAUAGUCACUACUAUAGGUCCUAGUUAUAGUCACUACUAUAGGUCCUAGUUAUAGU